GCGGCAGACGGGUGAGUAACACGUGGAUAACCUGCCCUUGAGUGGGGAAUAACCUCGGGAAACCGGGGCUAAUACCGCAUACGAUCUUCAGCACAUAAGUGAAGGAGAUGAAAGCCUUCGGGCGCUCGAGGAGGGAUCCGCGGCCGAUUAGCUUGUUGGUAGGGUAACGGCCUACCAAGGCACCGAUCGGUAGCCGGCCUGAGAGGGUGAACGGCCACACUGGCACUGAGACACGGGCCAGACUCCUACGGGAGGCAGCAGUAGGGAAUCUUGGACAAUGGGGGAAACCCUGAUCCAGCGACGCCGCGUGACCGAUGAAGCCUUUCGGGGUGUAAAGGUCUUUCGGCGGGGACAAUGAUGAUGGUACCCGCAUAAGCAGCUGCGGCUAACUACGUGCCAGCAGCCGCGGUAAUACGUAGGCAGCAAGCGUUGUUCGGAAUUACUGGGCGUAAAGCGAGUGUAGGCGGCCGGCCGUGUCCGUUGUGAAAUCUCCCGGCUUAACUGGGAGGGUGCGACGGAAACUGGACGGCUCGAGUACGGAAGAGGAGAGUGGAAUUCCUGGUGUAGCGGUGAAAUGCGUAGAUAUCAGGAGGAACACCGGCGGUGAAGACGGCUCUCUGGACCGUGACUGACGCUGAGACUCGAAAGCGUGGGGAGCAAACAGGAUUAGAUACCCUGGUAGUCCACGCCCUAAACGAUGCAUACUUGGUGUGGGCUCUUCACUGAGUCCGUGCCGGAGCUAACGC
This 746-nucleotide ribosomal RNA is filed under the name uncultured bacterium. RNAcentral's name for it is "bacterial SSU rRNA". It matches the Rfam family "Bacterial small subunit ribosomal RNA", at positions 95 to 858 of the family's 1533-position model. The record is from RNAcentral.